AAGUCGUAACAAGGUUUCCGUAGGUGAACCUGCGGAAGGAUCAUUAACACUCUUAUGAAAUUUAACAACCUUCAUAUAACAUUGUCCCGCGAACUGUUGCUUCUCUCUCCCGAGCUCUUAGCGCGAACGGCGCCAGUCAUGGAGGAGGUCCCUUUGAGUGUGAAAACACUCGACCGGACUUUCGGCUGGACGACGACAGACUAGGUAAGGGAGGGACAAAUCGUGCUCUUCGUCACCCCCAUUGGCGAAGUUGCUAUUCUUAACCUUUAUCAUUUAUUUUACCCCUGCUAAUUAUGAACUGACUGUUGAAUGGACCAUAUAGCAACUGAUAUUUAUAUCCUUUCUUAUAUGGCUCAUCGAUAUUCGUUAUCGAAUCAACAAUGGAAAACACAACUCUUACCAGCGGAUAUCUCGGUUCCC
This 420-nucleotide unclassified non-coding RNA is filed under the name fungal sp. RNAcentral describes it as "partial internal transcribed spacer region". The stretch from base 1 to 46 matches the Rfam family "Eukaryotic small subunit ribosomal RNA", at positions 1786 to 1831 of the family's 1831-position model. Lineage: Eukaryota; Fungi. The record is from RNAcentral.